RNAcentral lists this ribosomal RNA (1305 nucleotides) under metagenome. Its description in RNAcentral is "bacterial SSU rRNA". It matches the Rfam family "Eukaryotic small subunit ribosomal RNA", at positions 158 to 1387 of the family's 1831-position model. The record is from RNAcentral.
UUCCACUUAAUCUAAGUCCAAUAUAUGUGGCCCGAUUUGGGUUGCAUGUUUUGAGUUGACCCAAAAUAAUUUAACGGACUGGUAAUAGAGACUAAUUGUUUUAGUUUCUUAUCGGUGAAUCAUUCAAAUUUCUGUUCUAUCAAUUUAUGAAGGUAGGGUAGUGGCCUACCUUGAUUAUUACGGAUACGGGGGAUCAGGGUUCGAUACCGGAGAGGAGGCCUGAGAGACGGCCGCCACAUCUAAGGAAGGCAGCAGGCGCGGAAAUUACCCUAAUCUCGACAUGAGGAGGUAGUGACAAGAAAUAUCAACACAGGUUCCUUUUAGGGAUUUGUUAAGUUGAAAUGAGGACAGUUUAAACUUCUUACCGAGGAGCUAUUAGAGGGCAAGUUGGGUGCCAGCAGCCGCGGUAAUACCCACUCUAAAAGUGUAUGUUAAAGUUGUUGCAGUUAAAACGCUCGUAGUUGGAUUUAUUGAACAUAUUCAACUUCUUGAUGAUAAUUUCAAUUGUCAGGAGGUUUUCUUGUUUUCGGGUUUAAAGUUUGGAGGAAAGUCAAUCGACUUUCGCCUUAUGGUUUGCCUGAUUCGGGAAGUGUUCUUUUAUGUUACUUUGAAUAAAAUUUGGUGUUCAAAGCAUGUUUAUUUUCCGAGGGCUUGUUCUUUUCAUUAAGGACCCCUCGGAAACCUUUUAACCGCAUGAAAAUUUUAGCAUGGGAUAACAAAAAGAUACGUUAAUAUUUUUUGUUGGAUUUUUAAUAACGUGUAAUGGUUAAAUAGGGACAGACUCGGGGGCGUAAGUAUUGUGUAGGUAGAGGUGGAAUUCGAUGAUCUACACAGGACUGACUGAAGCGAAGGCGUUUCGUCAAGGAUGUUUUCGUUGAUCAAGAACGAAAGUUAGGGGAUCGAAGACGAUUAGACACCGUCGUAGUCCUAACCGUAAACUAUCUCGACUAGGGAUUGGAGUAGGUAAUUGUCAUUUAGACAAUUGAACUAUUUCAGGACCUUCAGAGAAAUCGUUAAGUUUUUGGAGUCUGGGGGGAAGUAUGAUCGCAAGGUUGAAACUUAAACGGAAUUGACGGAAGAGCACCACAAGAGAUGGAGCUUGUUGCUUAAUUCGACCCAACGCGGGGAAGCUUACCAGGACUGGACUAAGAUAGGAUUGACAGGCUAAUGGGUCUUUCAAGAUUCUUAGAAUGGUGGUGCAUGGCCGUUCUUAGUUGGUGAAGUGAUUUGUCUGUGUUAAUUCCGUUAACGAGCGAGACCUUAACCUGCUAACUAGUUUUUUAACUUGGAAAGUGUAAAAGUGCC